RNAcentral lists this ribosomal RNA (378 nucleotides) under uncultured anaerobic ammonium-oxidizing bacterium. RNAcentral's name for it is "bacterial SSU rRNA". It matches the Rfam family "Bacterial small subunit ribosomal RNA", at positions 525 to 904 of the family's 1533-position model. The record is from RNAcentral.
ACGUAGGAGGCGAGCGUUAUCCGGAAUCACUGGGCGUAAAGGGCAUGUAGGCGGUUGCGCAAGUCGUGUGUUAAAGCCCCUGGCUCAACUAGGGGAGGUCAUGCGAGACUGUGCGGCUAGAGGGCAGGAGAGGCACGUGGAACUCCCGGUGUAGCGGUGGAAUGCGUAGAGAUCGGGAAGAACAUCAGUGGCGAAGGCGACGUGCUGGGCUGCACCUGACGCUGAGGUGCGAAAGUGUGGGGAGCAAACGGGAUUAGAUACCCCGGUAGUCCACACCUUAAACGAUGAACACUAGGUGUGGGAGGGAGAACCUUCCGUGCCGAAGCCAACGCGUUACGUGUUCCGCCUGGGGACUAUGAGCGCAAGCUUAAACCUCAA